This 526-nucleotide ribosomal RNA is filed under the name uncultured bacterium. RNAcentral describes it as "bacterial SSU rRNA". It matches the Rfam family "Bacterial small subunit ribosomal RNA", at positions 29 to 576 of the family's 1533-position model. The record is from RNAcentral.
ACGAACGCUGGCGGCGUGGAUAAGACAUGCAAGUCGAACGAGAGAAUUGCUAGCUUGCUAAUAAUUCUCUAGUGGCGCACGGGUGAGUAACACGUGAGUAACCUGCCCCCGAGAGCGGGAUAGCCCUGGGAAACUGGGAUUAAUACCGCAUAGUAUCGAAAGAUUAAAGCAGCAAUGCGCUUGGGGAUGGGCUCACGGCCUAUUAGUUAGUUGGUGAGGUAACGGCUCACCAAGGCGAUGACGGGUAGCCGGUCUGAGAGGAUGUCCGGCCACACUGGAACUGAGACACGGUCCAGACACCUACGGGUGGCAGCAGUCGAGAAUCAUCCACAAUGGGGGAAACCCUGAUGGUGCGACGCCGCGUGGGGGAAUGAAGGUCUUCGGAUUGUAAACCCCUGUCAUGUGGGAGCAAAUUAAAAAGAUAGUACCACAAGAGGAAGAGACGGCUAACUCUGUGCCAGCAGCCGCGGUAAUACAGAGGUCUCAAGCGUUGUUCGGAAUCACUGGGCGUAAAGCGUGCGUAGGC